GCCUCAGUAGCUCAGCUGGAUAGAGCAACGGCCUUCUAAUCCGUAGGUCGGGGGUUCGAGUCCCUCCUGGGGCGCAA
This 77-nucleotide transfer RNA is filed under the name Enteractinococcus helveticum. RNAcentral's name for it is "tRNA-Arg". It matches the Rfam family "tRNA". Rfam says of the family: Transfer RNA (tRNA) molecules are approximately 80 nucleotides in length. The record is from RNAcentral. Lineage: Bacteria; Bacillati; Actinomycetota; Actinomycetes; Micrococcales; Micrococcaceae.